This 323-nucleotide ribosomal RNA is filed under the name uncultured Veillonellaceae bacterium. Its description in RNAcentral is "bacterial SSU rRNA". It matches the Rfam family "Bacterial small subunit ribosomal RNA", at positions 9 to 339 of the family's 1533-position model. The record is from RNAcentral. Lineage: Bacteria; Bacillati; Bacillota; Negativicutes; Veillonellales; Veillonellaceae.
AGUAGUUUGAUCAGUGGCUCGAGGACGAACGCUGGCGGCGUGCUUAACACAUGCAAGUCGAACGGAACCUUCGGGUUUAGUGGCGAACGGGUGAGUAAAGCGCAGGUAAUCUGCCGCAAAGUCGGGGACAACGUUCCGAAAGGGACGCUAAUACCGGAUGUUGUGCAGUUGUCGCAUGACAGUUGCACUAAAGAUUUAUCGCUUUGCGAGGAGCCUGCGUCCGAUUAGGCAGUUGGUGUGGUAAAGGCGCACCAAACCGACGAUCGGUAGCCGGUCUGAGAGGAUGAACGGCCACAAUGGAACUGAGACACGGUCCAUACUCC